This 451-nucleotide ribosomal RNA is filed under the name uncultured bacterium. Its description in RNAcentral is "bacterial SSU rRNA". It matches the Rfam family "Bacterial small subunit ribosomal RNA", at positions 29 to 524 of the family's 1533-position model. The record is from RNAcentral.
AACGAACGCUGGCGGCAUGCCUAACACAUGCAAGUCGAACGAACUCUUCGGAGUUAGUGGCGCACGGGUGCGUAACGCGUGGGAAUCUGCCCUUGGGUACGGAAUAACUCAGAGAAAUUUGUGCUAAUACCGUAUAAUGACUUCGGUCCAAAGAUUUAUCGCCCAAGGAUGAGCCCGCGUAAGAUUAGCUAGUUGGUGGGGUAAAAGCCUACCAAGGCGACGAUCUUUAGCUGGUCUGAGAGGAUGAUCAGCCACACUGGGACUGAGACACGGCCCAGACUCCUACGGGAGGCAGCAGUGGGGGAAUAUUGGACAAUGGGCGAAAGCCUGAUCCAGCAAUGCCGCGUGAGUGAUGAAGGCCUUAGGGUUGUAAAGCUCUUUACCCGGGAUGAUAAUGACAGUACCGAAAGAAUAAGACACCGGCUAACUUCGUGCCAGCAGCCGCGGUAAU